UAGUGCGUGCGUUCGAUUUCAAGUCUUUAUUUAGUCAGAGAAAAAAUAUGUGUUGCUAGCGAGUUGCGGGAGUCGGCGCGUGGGAAAGUGUUAGUGUAGAAGAGUAUGCAGGUGAGAAAAGAGGCUGCAAAUAUCAAAGUAAGGAAAGGCUGCUCUGAAAUGGAUACGUUACAACCUAGCAGAUCAAUCAAUACGAAUAAUUAAAGAUUCUGAUGUUUUAUCAAGCAACUAAAAAACUUUAAAAAUAAAAGUUGGAUGUUGCACCCUGUUAAAUGAGCUUUACACACUUUCGAAUUCGGUGACUGGAAAAAUUAGAAAACACCUACAACAAGGACUGCAAGAACAAUAGAUUAUCACCUUUGAUAGCAAACGAGAGUUUUUCGUUCGCUCCCACACACUGCUCUGUUACAUCGAAAACACGAAGUGCAUGCUCGAAAGCGCAUGCAACCUGAGCUGCGCAUUAAGUUUCCAACGGCGCAAUACGAAGGACAAUUGACAUGGUGGCGUCUACAAGAAAACUAUUUUAAACAUUAAAUAAUAAAACUUAAUAUCAUCGAUUAAAUAUAUGUAAUGGAAAAAUGAAAGUGCGAAAAGUGUUUCAAUCGAAUUGUAAAAAGAAUUAGUGCGGGCGCGAUAGUAAAAGCGUUUUUUUGUGUGUAAGUAAUUCGAAGCAAAAGUGAGCGUAGUGAUUCGGUAAAGU
Bactrocera tryoni is the source of this 700-nucleotide long non-coding RNA. RefSeq lists it as uncharacterized. The transcript is spliced from 2 exons. Lineage: Eukaryota; Metazoa; Arthropoda; Insecta; Diptera; Tephritidae. The record is from RefSeq and is a predicted model, not a curated record.